AUGGCCGACGCCCCGCCGAGUCCCGGCGGCCUGGCCGUCGACCCGCCCGCCAAGGUGAAGAAGAAGGCGCCAAGGAAACCGCGGUUGGAGUACACGCCGGAGGAGAUCGCCAAGUUGGACGCGGAAUCGGCGAAGAGGAGGGAACGGAGAGCGGUCGUCAAGCUCAAUGCCACCGCGGCCAAGAGAGCCGCCAUGCGCGAGGAGCUGGAGGCCGCGCGGCGCAAGGCCGCUGCCGACGAGAAGGAGGACCUCGUCAACAAAGCUCACGCCAUCCUCAUGCUUGGCAUGGGCCGUCCUGCCGGGUUCCCUGCAGCGGCCGUCGCCCCGGCGAGCACCAGCUCGUCGGUUGCGUGGCCUACGCACUGCCAGUCGCCGACGUCGCGCACCACGCCCAUGUCGCCCGGCUUCCCUCCGCCAAGGCACGACGGACAGACCCGUUUCUCGGGGUUGCCGGAGGUGGGCUUGUUCGCGCCAUCCACACCGCGCCCCGCAGCCGUCAUCGACCUCAACGUCACGCCCGGGUCCAGCAGCGGCGGGCGGCUGUCCGUCGAGAUGCGAAGAAAGCAGGCACGGGCACCGUUCGCGGGCACCAUGCCGCCCCCCCCCCCGAAAAGAGGACUGAAGACGGCCAAGUUCGUCGGAGGUGAAGAUGGCGAGGCGUUGAAGAGGCCGAGGGGCAAGACCAACUCCAAGGUGGACGACAUACGUGGCAUGAUGUCCCAAAAGGAUGUGAGGGACGAGAAGAAGCGGCAAAGCAAGGACGAGCAAAUGAAUCAAUACCUAGACCUUCAAAGACAGAAGCUUGAGAUGGAGGAGGCGGCCAAGAGGAGGAAGCUCGACAUGGAGGAGGCGGCCCGGCAAAGGCAGCUCGACAUGGAGGAGGCGGCCCGACAAAGGCAGCUGGACAUCGAGGCCGACAACGUCAAGGCCAGGCAGAGGCAGCUCGACAUCGAGGCCACCAAUGCCGCCACCAAAGCGAAGGAGGAGGCCCUUGCGAUCAUGAGCGUGGACUUGUCGAAGAUGAGCGACAAGACGAGGGCCUGAGUCCGAGUUCGGCCGACGGAAACGCCCAACAUGGAGGGCGAGCGGUUGCUCGUCUAUGGCAUGCAGAACGAGGCGCAGGCUUGUCAUAUGCAGGCUCAUUUCUCUAUGUAUCAAUGUCACAUGGGCAACGAGGAGCACCGCCGCUGCAUCGUGGCCUGCAUGGUCAAAGGCACUUACGUCCUGGAGAGCGACAGAGCGACGAUGGACAGGAGGGAGGAGCUCGCGCCGGCGUGGUGGGAGAGCUUUGGCUUCCACCUCGAGAAUGAACUCAGAGAGCAGAAGCCCCCCAUCUUCGAAACCAUCUAUGGUGCCAUCUUCAAGUACGCGCCCUGCCCCCGCACGCCUCCCCACCCGCGUGCUCCACGGUAUGUCGUCGCCUUUAGGGGCACCAUGCGCAAGCACCCCGAGUGGUCGGUAGCGACACAAGACAUCUACCUUGACUUCAAAAUACUCACCAACAAACUGAAGAAACGCACGCGCUCUAAGCUGGCGUGCGGGGCGGUCGACGAACUUAUGGAUGACGAAGCCGGCCUAGGAAGCGCCGACGUCUGGCUCGCCGGGCACUCUCUCGGCGCAUCAUUGGCGCUGGACGUGGGGCGGGACAUGAUGGAGAGGCGAGAGCUGAACCUCCCGACCUUCCUCUUCAACCCGCCGCAGGUGUCGCUGACAGCGGCGCUCAACUUGCUGAACGCGCAGGACGUGGCCAAGAGGCAUCUGUACUUCACGAGUUACUUUUUCAAGGCAGGUGCGGCAACCGUCUCGGGUUGCCACCGGGAGCGCAUGGAGAAGUUGUUCGACCGGCUUUCCCCAUGGGUGCCGAAUCUGUACCUGCACGAGAAGGACUGGAUCUGCCAGGGCUUCAUCGACUACUUCGAGCUGGGGCAGCAGUUCGAGAAGGAGCGGCCGCACCUCCUGCCAUCGGCAAUGCUGUGGAAGACCGCGCAAACCAGCCUCGAUGCGCACGCCCUCCAGCAGUGGUGGAAACCGGACAGUGAGCUUGGCUUGGGCGCCGGCACAUGUUAUAGGUGGAACCGGAUCCUCUAA
RNAcentral lists this ribosomal RNA (2088 nucleotides) under Triticum aestivum (bread wheat). RNAcentral describes it as "partial small subunit ribosomal RNA". The record is from RNAcentral. Lineage: Eukaryota; Viridiplantae; Streptophyta; Magnoliopsida; Poales; Poaceae.